This 70-nucleotide transfer RNA is filed under the name Uria aalge (common murre). RNAcentral describes it as "tRNA-Val". Lineage: Eukaryota; Metazoa; Chordata; Aves; Charadriiformes; Alcidae. RNAcentral also lists the same sequence under 2 other names. The record is from RNAcentral.
CGAGACGUAGCUAUAAGAUAAAGCAUUCAGCUUACACCUGAAGGAUAUCUGACACACCAGAUCGUCUCGA